GCCAGGCGUUGUGGCGGGCGCCUGUGGUCCCAGCUACUUGGGAGGCUGAGGCAGGAGACUCGCUUGAGCCCAGGAGUUGGAGGUUGCUGUGAGCUGUAAUGCCAUGGCACUCUACCCAGGGGGACAGCUUGAGGCUCUGUCUCAAAAAAAAAAAAAAAAAAAGAGUAAGAAUCGGCUCAGCGCCUGUGGCUCAAGUGGCUAGGACUCAAGCUGUUACUCUGGGUGGAGUGCGGUGACAUCACAGCUCACAGCAACCUCAAACUCUUAGGCUUAAACGAUUCUCUUGCCU
Molecule: small RNA, 289 nt
Filed under: Otolemur garnettii (small-eared galago)
Lineage: Eukaryota; Metazoa; Chordata; Mammalia; Primates; Galagidae
Description: Metazoan signal recognition particle RNA (ENSOGAG00000032834.1)
Source: RNAcentral